GGCUCGUUCUUCUAAUGGUUCAGGAUGUCAGGUUGUCAACCUGACGGCACGGGUUCAAUUCCCGUACGAGCCG
Molecule: transfer RNA, 73 nt
Filed under: Planctomycetota bacterium
Lineage: Bacteria; Pseudomonadati; Planctomycetota
Description: Planctomycetes bacterium (bioreactor metagenome) tRNA-Asp
Rfam family: tRNA
About the family: Transfer RNA (tRNA) molecules are approximately 80 nucleotides in length. Their secondary structure includes four short double-helical elements and three loops (D, anti-codon, and T loops).
Source: RNAcentral